This 420-nucleotide long non-coding RNA is filed under the name Homo sapiens (human). RNAcentral's name for it is "non-protein coding lnc-ZNF729-3:1". Lineage: Eukaryota; Metazoa; Chordata; Mammalia; Primates; Hominidae. The record is from RNAcentral.
CCCACAGUGGGAAUUGUGACAUAUUACCAUGAUCAACAGCUAAAUGAUGUGACUCUUUUCUGCUGAUUGAGCCCUGCUUAUAGGGGGCAUUGUGACAUUUAGCUUCACCUUGAACCCAGAUGAUUUAACUCUCUUAUCUGGGCUUUGCCUAUGGAGAACACUGUGACAUAUCUCUGCACCGAUCAUCUAGGUGAAGUGACUCUCCUCUCCUGUCUGGUUCUGGCUCAAAGAAGGGAAUGUAACAUGUCACUGGACCCAGCACCUAGGUGGGAUUGUGACAUACCUAGGCCUAGCUCACAGGCGUGAUGAUGACUCUCAUAUGUGGACCCAACAAACAGAAAAGAUUUUGACUCUCAUGGCUAGAAUUAGGGGAAUAGGUAAGGUCUUCUGUUUCCUACUUGUGGUAAUGUCACAGAAGAU